GUUUGUGCCGCGCGCCCGCCAGACCGCCCAGGAGGCGGCGGCUAUUGUUCCCCGCAGGGGCCCGGGGCGCCCUGAAACGGGGUCCACGUCAGCCCGCUCCCGAGCGUGUCCUCAGGUCUAAGGACGGGUGGGGCUUCCUUUGUGUGUUCUCUGGAAGGGGCUGGGAUGGCGUCGUUGCUGCCCCAAGGGGUAACCGAGGGGGAUUGAGGGAAGAUGGUACCAGCUCCCUAGAGCUCAGCUCACCAGACCUACUCUUCCGCUCGACCCUUGCAGAGGAGGUGGGGACGGAUAUGGUAUUUGUAGGGCAGCGCUGUGAACAAUGGAGCCAUCAAAAAGGCCUUCUCCCAGCCUCCUCACCAACCACGGACAUUCCUGGCCCAACAAGACCUCCUGGCCAGGUUUUGAGCCCUGCUUCCCAGUUUCUGAAAGAAGGACCAAAGUAAUGCCAAGAACUCCCAGAUGAAGAGGACCUUCCUUAGACCUAUAACAGAUUCACUACUUGACUUCAGAGGGAAGUUUCAGCUAAUUCUCAGGAAAAGGUCAAAACAGGCCUGUGACUGUCCCUUGAAUACUGAAGGUAUAAACAAGCUUCUGGCUCCUCCAGGUCAAGCAGAGGAACACUUUUAUUAGAAUGAAGGGUUACUUCUUUGUUAUUCAAACACACACCCACACACAUCCUCUGUAGUCUCCCUAAUGAAAAACCUCAACAGAUGGAGAGCCUGAGCUCCCAAGUCCGCAGGCUGAGAAGAUGCACUUCACUCAAGGGCCAGUGGGCUGGUACAGACUAGGGAAGAGAAAAGGGACAAAGGCUGCUAGUAUAGGUAAUCACUAUCUUUUAAUACUCCUAACACAUAGAAAUUCGAAAAAUCUUGUUCAGCAAUGUUAGCAGCCUGUGAGCCUCGGAAACUAAUUUGGCUGAUGUGUCUCUGAUAGGGAGCUUGGGGCUGCACCAAGGGGAAACAUUCUCCUCCUGUAUUCUCUCCUCUCUCUCGUUUGAAAGCCUGUACAAAGAAAUGGUACAAAUGGAUGGUUAACUUAAUGAUUCCAUCAGAGGCAGAUUUUUCUCUGUCAGGUCCCUGGAUAAGGUGGAGGUCUGAAAGCCAGGAGACAGAAUAUGUACUUAAUCGCCCUUUCUGACCUGCUUACCAGUGACCAGGACUACUCUCCAGGCCUUUCUUCUGCCACUUCCCCAUUCUUCCUGGCUAGUUCAGUUGGGUCUCAGCACUUCAACUCCUGGCUGGAUCCUGAGUUUUUCUUGGUUGCAGGGAAAGCUCUCACUGUCUGCAUCUCCUUCCCCACCCCCACCUCCCGUUUUGCAGCUGGCCAUUCUGGCUGCCUCACAGCUAUCCUGCCUUAAUUCAUAUUUGAUUGCCUGGACAGAACCACCUAGAAUGUCCAGACGACUGCCACCCCUCAGCCAUGGGCCUGAGAUCCUGCCCUGACCCCUUUCUUCAGACCCCAGGAGGACCCACAAUCUCCCUGAUCCCCACCUUCCCCAAAGUAGUCUCUAGGAAAAAAGCAGAGCUGGCUAAGGCCUGAGACAGAGCCAUUUCUUCCCCUUGGGCAAACGAGGUAGACCCUCCCAGAGACCAAUGCCGGAGAGGCCCGGAUCCGAGCUCCCUUUAUAUGGCCUCCCCCAUCACGGAUCCCGUGGGAAAACCUGACACACAAUGGCGCGGCUGCUCCGGGCACCCUCAACCCAGCGCCCUGCGGCAAGGCCUGGAGCAGCCUGGUGGUCUUGGUGCGCUCCCUUUGCCCUCCCCGCAACCCUCUGCGAGCACUCGUCCCAGGAGAGAGACCCUGGCUAGGGUGGAGGUUGCCUCCCGCAAAGGGCGCUGUUGCUGGGGCCUCCCCUCCCCCAUUCUCUUGUUUUUCUGCUUCUGAGACUCGGGAGGGAGGCGGCAGGCGCCUCCGCAGCCGAUAGAGCAGCUAUUGUGACCUUCCCUUGCAGAGCGGGAACCCAGCCGAGUGUGUACCGCCGGCGGUGGCGGGGGAGGAGGCGACUGUGUGUGCAAACCUCAGUCGGAGAGGGGGUGGCGCUGGGAAAUAAAGGUUUGCAACCUCAGGCAGUUGGGCCCUUCAGAGGGCGUUUGGUUGUGUUUAGACUCGGUUGCUUUCUAACACUAAUUGCAGGCUCAAAAGGAGCGGAAUUUAUUGCGAAGGCCAAGGCGGCUUGUUUAUAAUUUAUGAAGUUUUAAAUGGCUGUGCCGCGGGCCCCAACUUUCUCCUGGGCUGGCAGCCGCGCGGAAACGCGCCCUCCCCCGGCUCGCCGCCCACCCCCACCCACGCCCCUCAGAUGAGUCUCACGCCAAUGGCAGGAACAGAUCCGAGCUAUUAGAAGUCUCGGGAACCUCCAGAGAUGACAGAAGGUGGCAGAUUUGGUCCAAGCCCUCACCCCACUCGAGAGGAGGGCGUCGGGGAAAGCUGUGGCUGCCUGGAGAGGGAGCCCCUGAUCCCACACUUCCUUGGAGCCUGAGUGUGAGAGGAAGCUAAUGUCAGCCGGGCUAGACACCGUUUAAAGUCUAAUCCAUGAAACCCUAAGCCGCAAAUGACACUUGGGGCUUUGCAGACACCCGCAGACUCAGCAGAUACUCCUGCGGUAACACACUGUGCUGGAAAACGCCUGGAGCCAUGACACAUUACGUAUUUUUAUUAUUAUUUAUGGUAGGAAGAGGAGAUGAGGGAAAAUCGGGCUGAAUCUAAGCAGCCUGACAAUUCAGCUAGUUAAUAUUUAGCCAGUUAAGAAAGGUGGUUGUAAUCCCUGCAAGGCAGUGAGCUCUCCUUUGAUUUCUCUAAUAGCUUAAAAAAUAAUUUCUUACAAGACAAUUAGAAAUUCUGCCUAUGGAUGCAAAUUUCAUAGAAAACAAUGUUAAGCCUUGAAAGUGGGUAAAAUGUGCCUUCGAUUGAAGUCAUUUAUUCUGUUGAUACACUUCUACAACAUAUAUAUUUUAAACCUGCUCAGAUAAAGUGAAAUUUAGCAAAAGGAUAUCCCCUCCCACCCCCAAAUCUAACAUGCCAUUUUAAAAACAGCACAAAGGAACAAGGAAACUAAAUAUUAUUUUGAGCCAUCAUUACUUAGUGAAAUACAAACAUCCAAAUAGAAACGAUUGUUGUUCCACCAGAAGAUUAGAAGUUAAAUUAUUUCCACACAAUAGGAAUUUCACUUCGUGUCAUCGGGGAUGUAGUAGGAGUUGCAUUAUUUGUCAAACCAAAUAGAGAUGCGUGGGCUGACUUUGCUGAAAUACAAAAGAAUUGAACCUUAUCUGAAGGCGUUUUCUAAGUGGCCCCUCCCAUAGAAGCCGGGAAGUUGUCCACCCCUAGCAGAAGCCACAUUAAUAUUUACAAAAUGGUUAUAAAUCCUUGAAGACAUUUUUGCCCAUUUUGUAUAAGAAACAGGAGUAAACAAGGUGUUUAUACUUGUUAUGUUUCAUUAAUGAAAUAUUAUUACUUUACAUCUUGGGGAAUGUUUGUUUUCUUUAGAAAUGAACUAAUGAUCACUACAAAGGAAGAAUUCAUGACAGCAUUUCCUAGAGAAAAAGCUUAGGUACGCGUCUCCAAAUGAUGGUUUCUUUUUCUACACCUUAGCUUUUUCAUAGCUCAAUUCUUCUUACAACUUCUCUUGUGUUUUUUCUUUGAUUGUCAGUUUUCUUUCAAAGUUUAUUUUUUGUUACUUAAUGCAGAAAAGUGAGCUCUGGUCUCCCCAGUGUAAAAGUCGAUUGUGUCUAGAAAGAAGGCAGUAAAAACAGCAAAGCAGGCGCUGCUUUCAAAAAGCCCUGCCCAAAUCAUCCCGCCCAGAACCUUCUUAGGUUUGCAUCCUCAUUUCCCCCUCCCCUAAUUUCAAUAGCUGGAAAGUAAUCAAGUAUCCCGAGAACCAAUUUAUGCACUAGACUCCAAAUAAAUAAAAUAUUUUUUUCAAAGUGUCA
Molecule: long non-coding RNA, 3923 nt
Filed under: Homo sapiens (human)
Lineage: Eukaryota; Metazoa; Chordata; Mammalia; Primates; Hominidae
Description: non-protein coding HAGLR:17
Source: RNAcentral